UUUCCCUACGGGGCGCAGCAGUGGGGAAUAUUGGGCAAUGGGCGCAAGCCUGACCCAGCAACGCCGCGUGAAGGAAGAAGGCUUUCGGGUUGUAAACUUCUUUUCUCAGGGACGAAGAAAGUGACGGUACCUGAGGAAUAAGCCACGGCUAACUACGUGCCAGCAGCCGCGGUAAUACGUAGGUGGCAAGCGUUAUCCGGAUUUACUGGGUGUAAAGGGCGUGUAGGCGGGAAAGCAAGUCAGAUGUGAAAACCACGGGCUCAACCUGUGGCCUGCAUUUGAAACUGUUUUUCUUGAGUACUGGG
This 305-nucleotide ribosomal RNA is filed under the name uncultured bacterium. RNAcentral's name for it is "bacterial SSU rRNA". It matches the Rfam family "Bacterial small subunit ribosomal RNA", at positions 334 to 653 of the family's 1533-position model. The record is from RNAcentral.